Molecule: ribosomal RNA, 585 nt
Filed under: uncultured bacterium
Lineage: Bacteria
Description: partial 16S ribosomal RNA
Rfam family: Bacterial small subunit ribosomal RNA
Source: RNAcentral
UGGGGAAUUUUGGACAAUGGGGGAAACCCUGAUCCAGCCAUCCCGCGUAUGCGAUGAAGGCCUUCGGGUUGUAAAGCACUUUUGGCAGGAAAGAAACGUCGCGGGUUAAUACCCCGCGAAACUGACGGUACCUGCAGAAUAAGCACCGGCUAACUACGUGCCAGCAGCCGCGGUAAUACGUAGGGUGCAAGCGUUAAUCGGAAUUACUGGGCGUAAAGCGUGCGCAGGCGGUUCGGAAAGAAAGAUGUGAAAUCCCAGAGCUUAACUUUGGAACUGCAUUUUUAACUACCGGGCUAGAGUGUGUCAGAGGGAGGUGGAAUUCCGCGUGUAGCAGUGAAAUGCGUAGAUAUGCGGAGGAACACCGAUGGCGAAGGCAGCCUCCUGGGAUAACACUGACGCUCAUGCACGAAAGCGUGGGGAGCAAACAGGAUUAGAUACCCUGGUAGUCCACGCCCUAAACGAUGUCAACUAGCUGUUGGGGCCUUCGGGCCUUGGUAGCGCAGCUAACGCGUGAAGUUGACCGCCUGGGGAGUACGGUCGCAAGAUUAAAACUCAAAUGAAUUGACGGGGUCAUAGCUGUUUCCU